Molecule: unclassified non-coding RNA, 240 nt
Filed under: soil metagenome
Description: partial contains 5.8S ribosomal RNA, internal transcribed spacer 2, and large subunit ribosomal RNA
Source: RNAcentral
AACCUAGCACACCUGCGGUGUGUACCUGCGGAAGGAUCAUUACCGAGUUUACAAACUCCCAAACCCUUUGUGAACCUUACCUAUCGUUGCUUCGGCGGGAUCGCCCCGGGCCGGCCCUUCACGGGGCCUCCGGAACCAGGCGCCCGCCGGAGAACCCAAACUCUUUGUUUUUAUGGUUUUCUCCUCUGAGUGGAUUAUAAACAAAUAAAUCAAAACUUUCAACAACGGAUCUCAGAUCGG